UACCAGCUCUCCGAGUGGUAGGGAUGAUUAUUGGGCUUAAAGCGUCCGUAGCCGGCUUAGCAAGUCUCCUGUUAAAUUCAGCGACCUAAUCGUUGAGCCGCGGGAGAUACUACUAGGCUAGGAGGCGGGAGAGGUCAACGGUACUUCCGGGGUAGGGGUGAAAUCCUAUAAUCCCGGGAGGACCACCAGUGGCGAAGGCUAUUGACUAGAACGCGCUCGACGGUGAGGGACGAAAGCUGGGGGAGCGAACCGGAUUAGAUACCCCGGUAGUCCCAGCUGUAAACGAUGCGAGCUAGGUGUUGGGGUGGCUACGUGCCACUUCAGUGCCGCAGGGAAGCCAUUAAGCUCGCCGCCUGGGGAGUACGGCCGCAAGGCUGAAACUUAAAGGAAUUGGCGGGGGAGCACCACAAGGCGUGAAGCUUGCGGUUC
This 429-nucleotide ribosomal RNA is filed under the name uncultured archaeon. RNAcentral's name for it is "bacterial SSU rRNA". It matches the Rfam family "Archaeal small subunit ribosomal RNA", at positions 474 to 903 of the family's 1478-position model. The record is from RNAcentral.